GGGAUAGCUCAGUUGGUAGAGCGACUGAUUCGUAAUCAGUAGAUCGCACAUUAUUUCACCCCA
Molecule: transfer RNA, 63 nt
Filed under: Pseudomonadales bacterium
Lineage: Bacteria; Pseudomonadati; Pseudomonadota; Gammaproteobacteria; Pseudomonadales
Description: tRNA-Thr
Rfam family: tRNA
About the family: Transfer RNA (tRNA) molecules are approximately 80 nucleotides in length.
Source: RNAcentral